UACGGAGGAUGCGAGCGUUAUCCGGAUUUAUUGGGUUUAAAGGGUGCGUAGGCGGGAUGCCAAGUCAGCGGUAAAAGUGCGGUGCUCAACGCCGUCGAGCCGUUGAAACUGGCGUUCUUGAGUGGGCGAGAAGUAUGCGGAAUGCGUGGUGUAGCGGUGAAAUGCAUAGAUAUCACGCAGAACUCCGAUUGCGAAGGCAGCAUACCGGCGCCCUACUGACGCUGAGGCACGAAAGCGUGGGUAUCGAACAGG
RNAcentral lists this ribosomal RNA (252 nucleotides) under uncultured bacterium. RNAcentral describes it as "partial 16S ribosomal RNA". It matches the Rfam family "Bacterial small subunit ribosomal RNA", at positions 524 to 776 of the family's 1533-position model. The record is from RNAcentral.